AUGAACGCUAGCUACAGGCUUAACACAUGCAAGUCGAGGGGCAGCAUGAACUUAGCUUGCUCAGUUUGCUGGCGACCGGCGCACGGGUGAGUAACACGUAUCCAACCUGCCGAUGACUCGGGGAUAGCCUUUCGAAAGAAAGAUUAAUACCCGAUGGCAUAGUUCUUCCGCAUGGUAGAACUAUUAAAGAAUUUCGGUCAUCGAUGGGGAUGCGUUCCAUUAGGUUGUUGGCGGGGUAACGGCCCACCAAGCCUUCGAUGGAUAGGGGUUCUGAGAGGAAGGUCCCCCACAUUGGAACUGAGACACGGUCCAAACUCCUACGGGAGGCAGCAGUGAGGAAUAUUGGUCAAUGGACGAGAGUCUGAACCAGCCAAGUAGCGUGAAGGAUGACUGCCCUAUGGGUUGUAAACUUCUUUUAUACGGGAAUAAAGUGAGGCACGUGUGCCUUUUUGUAUGUACCGUAUGAAUAAGGAUCGGCUAACUCCGUG
RNAcentral lists this ribosomal RNA (488 nucleotides) under uncultured bacterium. Its description in RNAcentral is "partial 16S ribosomal RNA". It matches the Rfam family "Bacterial small subunit ribosomal RNA", at positions 29 to 507 of the family's 1533-position model. The record is from RNAcentral.